AACAUAUACUUUUGGAAAUUUUAAAUCAAAUAUUCAUCCAAAAAUUCAAGAUAUAGCUCCAACCAUUACUAUCAAUAAAAUGGCUUAUUUACUACCUUUGAAUUAUAUGUGUUGUCUUCAAUGCUCUAUAAUUCUUUUAUAUAAACUCCAAAUAUAACAAUUAUUUUAUAAAAGACAUAGGUCUUCAAAUUAUUCUUACAAUUGUAUCUCUUGAUUUCCAAAAGUUGUCAUAUAAGUCUCCAUAUUCUCAAAAGAGCAAUAAUAUGUCUUAAAAAGACACCUUAACUUCAAAUGGCUAUAACUUCAUCACUCUAACACCAAACCUUCUAAAAUUUGUGCAAAAAUUAUAGUCCAAAUCUUAAUUCUUAUAAUUCUUACUUUUGAUUCUUAAAUGUCCUUUUUGAAGUCACAAAAAUCUUUUUUAUGGUCACACAACCUCUUAAG
This 444-nucleotide long non-coding RNA is filed under the name Physcomitrium patens. Its description in RNAcentral is "long non-coding RNA (PPAT_LNC011269)". The record is from RNAcentral. Lineage: Eukaryota; Viridiplantae; Streptophyta; Bryopsida; Funariales; Funariaceae.